UAGUCCACGCCGUAAACGAUGUCUACUAGCCGUUGGGAGACUUGAUUUCUUAGUGGCGCAGCUAACGCACUAAGUAGACCGCCUGGGGAGUACGGCCGCAAGGUUAAAACUCAAAUGAAUUGACGGGGGCCCGCACAAGCGGUGGAGCAUGUGGUUUAAUUCGAUGCAACGCGAAGAACCUUACCAGGUCUUGACAUCCUGCGAAUUUUCUAGAGAUAGAUUAGUGCCUUCGGGAACGCAGUGACAGGUGCUGCAUGGUUGUCGUCAGCUCGUGCCGUGAGGUGUUGGGUUAAGUCCCGCAACGAGCGCAACCCCUAUCUCUAGUUACCAGCGGGUAAUGCCGGGGACUCUAGAGAGACUGCCUGUGCAAGCAGUGAGGAAGGAGGGGGACGACGGUCAAAUCAUCAUGGCCUUUAUGCCUAGGGGCUACACACGUGCUACAAUGGGUGGGGACAAAGAGCUGCGAACCGGGUGACGGGCAAGGCCAAUCUCAAAAACCCUACCU
RNAcentral lists this ribosomal RNA (505 nucleotides) under uncultured bacterium. Its description in RNAcentral is "bacterial SSU rRNA". It matches the Rfam family "Bacterial small subunit ribosomal RNA", at positions 791 to 1288 of the family's 1533-position model. The record is from RNAcentral.